RNAcentral lists this small RNA (28 nucleotides) under Bombyx mori (domestic silkworm). RNAcentral describes it as "piRNA piR-bmo-2188198". Lineage: Eukaryota; Metazoa; Arthropoda; Insecta; Lepidoptera; Bombycidae. The record is from RNAcentral.
UGAGCAAGGCUGUAGACUUCUCGUCUAA